UCCACUGGACCCCUGGGCAAAACUCUCGAGCCUCAGUGGGGGACCCCAUCUGACACCCUUAGGGGAAGAGGCAGUGAGUUGAUGCUCCAGGAUCCCCAGCCACUCAAGCCUUGGGAGCUGGGCAACCACUCCUGCUGACUCAUGCGGGACUGAACUUCCCUCAUGUGGUCACCAUAUCCAAGCCCCGGCAGCCAGGAGGAGGAGAGGCGCACCUCCAACAGCGAGAGCUCAGAAAGGUGAGCAAGAGAGGCACCCUCAUCCCUAAUGGGCACCUUGGGCACAGAGGCCACUUGGCAGGUGACCCCCUUCCCCAUGAGCUGUGGCUGAGCUGACACCAACACUGGAGC
Molecule: long non-coding RNA, 347 nt
Filed under: Sus scrofa (pig)
Lineage: Eukaryota; Metazoa; Chordata; Mammalia; Artiodactyla; Suidae
Description: lncRNA (ENSSSCG00070001255.1)
Source: RNAcentral